RNAcentral lists this ribosomal RNA (785 nucleotides) under bacterium LFM18. Its description in RNAcentral is "bacterial SSU rRNA". It matches the Rfam family "Bacterial small subunit ribosomal RNA", at positions 65 to 897 of the family's 1533-position model. The record is from RNAcentral.
AGCGCACUCUUCGGAGUGAGCGGCGGACGGGUUAGUAACGCGUGGGAAUAUACCCUUCACUACGGAAUAGCCUCGGGAAACUGAGAGUAAUACCGUAUACGCCCUUCGGGGGAAAGAUUUAUCGGUGAUGGAUUAGCCCGCGUCUGAUUAGAUAGUUGGUGGGGUAACGGCCUACCAAGUCGACGAUCAGUAGCUGGUUUGAGAGGAUGAUCAGCAACACUGGGACUGAGACACGGCCCAGACUCCUACGGGAGGCAGCAGUGGGGAAUCUUAGACAAUGGGCGAAAGCCUGAUCUAGCCAUGCCGCGUGAGUGACGAAGGCCCUAGGGUCGUAAAGCUCUUUCGCCAGGGAUGAUAAUGACAGUACCUGGUAAAGAAACCCCGGCUAACUCCGUGCCAGCAGCCGCGGUAAUACGGAGGGGGUUAGCGUUGUUCGGAAUUACUGGGCGUAAAGCGCGCGUAGGCGGAUUGGAAAGUAUGGGGUGAAAUCCCGGGGCUCAACCCCGGAACUGCCCUGUAAACUAUCAGUCUAGAGUUCGAGAGAGGUGAGUGGAAUUCCAAGUGUAGAGGUGAAAUUCGUAGAUAUUUGGAGGAACACCAGUGGCGAAGGCGGCUCACUGGCUCGAUACUGACGCUGAGGUGCGAAAGUGUGGGGAGCAAACAGGAUUAGAUACCCUGGUAGUCCACACCGUAAACGAUGAAUGCCAGACGUCGGGGGGCUUGCCCUUCGGUGUCACACCUAACGGAUUAAGCAUUCCGCCUGGGGAGUACGGUCGCAAGAUUAA